AGUGGGAUUGCUGGAUCAUGUGCUAUUUCUAUUUCUAGCUUUUUAAGGAAGCUCCAAAGAAGUUGUACCAUUUGCAUUCCCACUGGCAAU
This 90-nucleotide microRNA precursor is filed under the name Procavia capensis (Cape rock hyrax). RNAcentral's name for it is "miRNA (ENSPCAG00000019301.1)". The record is from RNAcentral. Lineage: Eukaryota; Metazoa; Chordata; Mammalia; Hyracoidea; Procaviidae.